AGAGUUUGAUCAUGGCUCAGGACGAACGCUGGCGGCGUGCUUAACACAUGCAAGUCGAACGGAAAGGCCCUUCGGGGUACUCGAGUGGCGAACGGGUGAGUAACACGUGGGUGAUCUGCCCUGCACUUUGGGAUAAGCCUGGGAAACUGGGUCUAAUACCGAAUAUGACCACGCUCUUCAUGGGGUGUGGUGGAAAGCUUUUGCGGUGUGGGAUGGGCCCGCGGCCUAUCAGCUUGUUGGUGGGGUAAUGGCCUACCAAGGCGACGACGGGUAGCCGGCCUGAGAGGGUGACCGGCCACACUGGGACUGAGAUACGGCCCAGGCUCCUACGGGAGGCAGCAGUGGGGAAUAUUGCACAAUGGGCGCAAGCCUGAUGCAGCGACGCCGCGUGAGGGAUGACGGCCUUCGGGUUGUAAACCUCUUUCACCAGGGACGAAGCGCAAGUGACGGUACCUGGAGAAGAAGCACCGGCCAACUACGUGCCAGCAGCCGCGGUAAUACGUAGGGUGCGAGCGUUGUCCGGAAUUACUGGGCGUAAAGAGCUCGUAGGUGGUUUGUCGCGUUGUUCGUGAAAACUCACAGCUUAACUGUGGGCGUGCGGGCGAUACGGGCAGACUAGAGUACUGCAGGGGAGACUGGAAUUCCUGGUGUAGCGGUGGAAUGCGCAGAUAUCAGGAGGAACACCGGUGGCGAAGGCGGGUCUCUGGGCAGUAACUGACGCUGAGGAGCGAAAGCGUGGGGAGCGAACAGGAUUAGAUACCCUGGUAGUCCAA
This 773-nucleotide ribosomal RNA is filed under the name uncultured bacterium. RNAcentral describes it as "bacterial SSU rRNA". It matches the Rfam family "Bacterial small subunit ribosomal RNA", at positions 8 to 798 of the family's 1533-position model. The record is from RNAcentral.